RNAcentral lists this ribosomal RNA (272 nucleotides) under uncultured Aminicenantes bacterium. RNAcentral's name for it is "partial 16S ribosomal RNA". It matches the Rfam family "Bacterial small subunit ribosomal RNA", at positions 1111 to 1382 of the family's 1533-position model. Lineage: Bacteria; Candidatus Aminicenantota. The record is from RNAcentral.
UUAGUUGUUCAGCGAGUCAUGUCGGAGUACUCUAAUGGGACUGCCGGUGACGAGCCGGAGGAAGUGGGAUGACGUCAAGUCAGCAUGGCCUUUAUGUCCAGGGCCACACACGUGCUACAAUGGACGGUACAGAGGGACGCAAGACCGCAAGGUGGAGCAAAUCCUCAAAACCGUUCUCAGUUCGGAUUGUAGGCUGCAAUUCGCCUACAUGAAGCUGGAAUUGCUAGUAAUCGCAGAUCAGCUACGCUGCGGUGAAUACGUUCUCGGGCCUU